Molecule: long non-coding RNA, 1152 nt
Filed under: Gallus gallus (chicken)
Lineage: Eukaryota; Metazoa; Chordata; Aves; Galliformes; Phasianidae
Source: RNAcentral
CUGAAACAUAAUUACAGUCAAGGCAAAUGCAUAAUAGAGAAAUUCCGGCUAGAGUUUCUCUGGGCUCCUCCUCCAUCAGUAACUAAUUCUUGCUCUUUUCUCAGCUCUGAGUGGUGAGACAUAGCAGUUCUCCCUGAAGGCAUUUAUAGAAGAUGUAAAGAUUUUUACCCAUUAAGGCAAUACAGCACACAACCACAAGUUGGGAUAUGAGCAAAUGCUGGUUCUGCAACAGCCCGUUCAAGAUAUAAUGGACAUUUACAGUGUUAUGGUGUAGUGGAAAUGCUAAGUUGUGGCUUGAAGCAGUGAUUGAGCACCUGGUGGGAAGGCAGGGCCAACCCAGAGGACCUCAGGUGCAUGCAAUGCAGCUGAGUGACCAGAAGGGCUGGGGAGCCAGGAUCCACUCCUUCCCAGACCUCAUUUAAAGGUUGGCAGUGGAGACAAAGUUAUCUUGCUGGAUGUCCCUAUCUACCCAAGGCCUUCCAAAGGAAGAAAAAAUAUAGUGCAUAUGGCUUCCAAGAGUGACUGAUGUUUUGAUGACGACAUGGAUAACUGCUUUUAUUCUGAAGUGUGGACUUCUGCACAGUUAAAAGGGGGAAGAGAGAAUUCCUGAGUUGCUCCAAAAAUGUAAAGCUGGAUCAGCAGUAAAAGAUGUUGAAGCAGCAGCAUUUCCCUGAGAAGCAGCCAACUUAGAAGUGGAAUAUGGAUUAGUGUCAUCAGGAGCAGCAACAAGAGCUGCAUAGGCAGUCUGAUGGAGCACUUUCCUAGCACAUCAUACUGCAGCUGAACAGCUGAACCACUCAGAAUAUCACAGCUGAAAAAUUUUGUCCAGAAUCAUCAAGCAGAUUUGUACCCUCUACACUCUGAAUUUAUACAGGUUACUGAAUAAAGAUGAAUGAAUAUCUUACAUAGUUGGUAUAAUUUUGAUCUUCAUAAAAUAAAAAUGUAGUUCCACUACUGUAUGCAGCAGUGGCAUGAACUACAGUUUGAUAUUCCAUAGAGUAUCUUUGCAGAAGUCUGUAAUCUCUUGCUGGGAAAGGAAAAUAAAAGCUCCUUUUAAACAAUCCUGUCAGUUUUUCUUCAAAUUAUGCUUUAAUUGGAAAAACUGUAGCUGGAAAGACUCUAACAUAUUCAGAUAGAAAUGGGAAACACUCG